CCUCUGCUUGCUGGAUGUUUCCUGUCCUUGAAGCUGGGGGGAUGGGCCAGAGCCCGGUGUCCAGGGGGUGGGGCCUCGGUACUGUUCCUUCUCUGCCUGUGGCUGUUGGGGAGGGGUGGGUGGGGGGGACAGGAAACCGGGGCCUUUCCGCCCAAUGUCGGGGCAGAAGGGUCCGCCUACCACAGGCCGGGCUGUGGUAGGACCGGCCUGAGGGAACCGGGCCCUUCUGACUCAUCCUUCCCCCGUGAGGCGCUGGGCACACUGGAGCCUUGUGCCAGGAGGUCAGUCACUCUCCCCACCGCCGGAGAAAACUUUCCUCAGGACGGGCCAGGACCCCGCCAACCCGCCGGGCCCACAGAAGGACCGGGAGGCAGUCUCUGCAGCCCCCACAGCAAGUGUCUUCAACCACACAGGCCGUGGGAGCUUCAGGGGAGGAGGCUGUGGCAUCUGUUCGGACUUCUUUCCACAUUUGUCAGGCCAUUACAGCCGGCCUGUAGCCGCUCUCCUCUCCGCUGUGGCUGGAAGAAGAACCUCCCUCCCCGGCUGUCCCUUCCGUGCGGGCCUCGGCGUCUGGGCUGUCUAGACAGAGCUGCCAUUUCCACCGGGAGGUCUGAGAACCCCUCCCCUACCUCUCUCUCUCUCUGCAGUCUGCUGGCCACAGGGCAUCUGCACAGGCUGGGACCGCCGGCUAGGCCAGGAGCCCCGGCAGCUGUGGACUCCCUAGCUCGGAGCAGCCCCUCUUUGGUGAGUGGUGGAGCCCUCCCUGCAUUCGCUCUUGGAGCAGCCCCAGCCCUCCCCCAGGGCCUGGGAGCUGAGCCAGCCUCUCUUGGGAGGGGGGGGGGGACUUCCAGAUGCUCAGACUGGCACCUCGCUCCAGACCUGUGACACACCCUUCAUUUUCCCUGCUCUCCUGUCCCCACCCCACCCACUUUCUCAUUCCUUCAGGUGUCCCUUCUGUUCCACCCCUUCCUCUCCUCUCUGUCCUGCCUGGUUCUCUGGGGCCAUUGCUGGGUCACAGUGGGGCCUCUGAGCUCCCCCUGUGGACAGAAGGGCUGAGAGCCUAAUGGCGGAGGCCCUUGAGGAUUGGCUGGGAUGGG
This 1097-nucleotide long non-coding RNA is filed under the name Lynx canadensis (Canada lynx). Its description in RNAcentral is "lncRNA (ENSLCNG00005013950.1)". Lineage: Eukaryota; Metazoa; Chordata; Mammalia; Carnivora; Felidae. The record is from RNAcentral.